CAGGUAAUAGUACACCCUAACUAAUCUGCAUCAAAGACUCCAACAAUAUUCAAGAAAGAUCUAGACAUAAUGUAUAUACCAAAGUUGAUGAUUCCAGGUAGGUAUCGUAUAUAUGUUUUAGUCCUUGCCAAUGUAUAGUUGUUAGAGUAUGAAUAAAUUGAAACACUUUGUUAACAACAUAUGUUAGAUCAAGAUACGUUACAGUG
Molecule: long non-coding RNA, 206 nt
Filed under: Capsicum annuum
Lineage: Eukaryota; Viridiplantae; Streptophyta; Magnoliopsida; Solanales; Solanaceae
Description: long non-coding RNA (CANN_LNC008484)
Source: RNAcentral